GUGAAUUGAAUAUGUUAGCGGACCUCUUCGGAGUCCCUAGCAUCAAAUCAUAUCCAUAACACCUGUGAACUGUAAGGCUGUCUUGAAAACGAAAGUGAUUAGAGCGCCUGCCCAUUUAUACAAACAUUAAAGUAACAAACGUAGUCUUAUUAUAAUCUAAUA
RNAcentral lists this unclassified non-coding RNA (162 nucleotides) under soil metagenome. Its description in RNAcentral is "partial internal transcribed spacer 1". The record is from RNAcentral.